GAUGAACGCUGGCGGCGUGCCUAAUACAUGCAAGUCGAGCGAACAGAUGAGGAGCUUGCUCCUCUGACGUUAGCGGCGGACGGGUGAGUAACACGUGGAUAACCUACCUAUAAGACUGGGAUAACUACGGGAAACCGGAGCUAAUACCGGAUAAUAUAUUGAACCGCAUGGUUCAAUAGUGAAAGACGGUUUUGCUGUCACUUAUAGAUGGAUCCGCGCCGCAUUAGCUAGUUGGUAAGGUAGCGGCUUACCAAGGCAACGAUGCGUAGCCGACCUGAGAGGGUGAUCGGCCACACUGGAACUGAGACACGGUCCAGACUCCUACGGGAGGCAGCAGUAGGGAAUCUUCCGCAAUGGGCGAAAGCCUGACGGAGCAACGCCGCGUGAGUGAUGAAGGUCUUCGGAUCGUAAAACUCUGUUAUUAGGGAAGAACAAAUGUGUAAGUAACUAUGCACGUCUUGACGGUACCUAAUCAGAAAGCCACGGCUAACUACGUG
RNAcentral lists this ribosomal RNA (497 nucleotides) under uncultured bacterium. RNAcentral describes it as "partial 16S ribosomal RNA". It matches the Rfam family "Bacterial small subunit ribosomal RNA", at positions 28 to 507 of the family's 1533-position model. The record is from RNAcentral.